RNAcentral lists this ribosomal RNA (645 nucleotides) under uncultured bacterium. RNAcentral describes it as "bacterial SSU rRNA". It matches the Rfam family "Bacterial small subunit ribosomal RNA", at positions 667 to 1312 of the family's 1533-position model. The record is from RNAcentral.
UUCCANGUGUAGCGGUGAAAUGCGUAGAUAUAUGGAGGAACACCGGUGGCGAAAGCGGCUCUCUGGUCUGUAACUGACGCUGAGGCUCGAAAGCGUGGGGAGCGAACAGGAUUAGAUACCCUGGUAGUNCACGCCGUAAACGAUGAGUGCUAGGUGUUGGAUCCUUUCCGGGAUUCAGUGCCGCAGCUAACGCAUUAAGCACUCCGCCUGGGGAGUACGACCGCAAGGUUGAAACUCAAAGGAAUUGACGGGGGCCCGCACAAGCGGUGGAGCAUGUGGUUUAAUUCGAAGCAACGCGAAGAACCUUACCAGGUCUUGACAUCCCGAUGCUAUUUCUAGAGAUAGAAAGUUACUUCGGUACAUCGGUGACAGGUGGUGCAUGGUUGUCGUCAGCUCGUGUCGUGAGAUGUUGGGUUAAGNCCCGCAACGAGCGCAACCCCUAUUGUUAGUUGCCAUCAUUCAGUUGGGCACUCUAGCGAGACUGCCGGUAAUAAACCGGAGGAAGGUGGGGAUGACGUCAAAUCAUCAUGCCCCUUAUGACCUGGGCUACACACGUGCUACAAUGGUUGGUACAACGAGUUGCGAGUCGGUGACGGCAAGCUAAUCUCUUAAAGCCAAUCUCAGUUCGGAUUGUAGGCUGCAACU